Molecule: ribosomal RNA, 492 nt
Filed under: uncultured bacterium
Lineage: Bacteria
Description: partial 16S ribosomal RNA
Rfam family: Bacterial small subunit ribosomal RNA
Source: RNAcentral
AGUGAACGCUGGCGGUAGGCCUAACACAUGCAAGUCGAACGGCAGCACAGUAAGAGCUUGCUCUUACGGGUGGCGAGUGGCGGACGGGUGAGGAAUACAUCGGAAUCUACUUUUUCGUGGGGGAUAACGUAGGGAAACUUAAGCUAAUACCGCAUACGACCUACGGGGGAAACCAGGGGAUCUUCGGACCUUGCGCGAUUCAAUGAGCCGAUGUCGGAUUAGCUCGUUGGCGGGGUAAAGGCCCACCAAGGCGACGAUACGUAGCGGAUCUGAGAGGAUGAUCAGCCACACUGGAACUGAGACACGGUCCAGACUCCUACGGGAGGCACCGGUGGGGAAUGUUGGACAUGGGGCGAAAGCCUGAUCCAGCCAUACCGCGCGGGUGAAGAAGGCCUUCGCGUUGUAAAGCCCCUUUGUUGGGAAAGAAAAGCAUGAGGUUAAUCCCCCGCUGUUCUGACGGUACCCAAAGAAUAAGCGCCGGCUAACUUCGUG